UCGUGGAGUGAUCUGUCUGCUUAAUUGCGUUUCACUAAGGGCCUAUAAUUUAACGUGUGUUGCGGCACUUUGACCCCUCAUUCUCACAUGAGCGCGUGUCUUAGUUUGCUUAGCUCGCACAAUUAGGUCCUGAAAGCAACGAACGUGACCGCAACCUCUUGUUGCCUUUAUACCAAACACGUUUGCCAUAUCUCAAUAUGGUCUCUCGUGAAAAAAGGCUUUUUAAACUAGAGGG
This 235-nucleotide ribosomal RNA is filed under the name uncultured eukaryote. RNAcentral describes it as "partial 18S ribosomal RNA". The record is from RNAcentral.